This 73-nucleotide transfer RNA is filed under the name Candidatus Burarchaeum sp. RNAcentral's name for it is "tRNA-Pro". It matches the Rfam family "tRNA". From Rfam's summary of the family: Transfer RNA (tRNA) molecules are approximately 80 nucleotides in length. Their secondary structure includes four short double-helical elements and three loops (D, anti-codon, and T loops). Lineage: Archaea; Nanobdellati; Microcaldota; Candidatus Micrarchaeia; Candidatus Burarchaeales; Candidatus Burarchaeaceae. The record is from RNAcentral.
GGGGCCGUGUGCUAGCCUGGUAUGCUUCCGGCUUGGGGUGCCGGCGACCUGAGUUCAAAUCUCAGCGGCCCCA